RNAcentral lists this ribosomal RNA (795 nucleotides) under uncultured bacterium. Its description in RNAcentral is "bacterial SSU rRNA". It matches the Rfam family "Bacterial small subunit ribosomal RNA", at positions 1 to 767 of the family's 1533-position model. The record is from RNAcentral.
UAGAGUUUGAUCAUGGCUCAGGACGAACGCUGGCGGCGUGCCUAAUACAUGCAAGUCGAACGAACUCUGGUAUUGAUUGGUGCUUGCAUCAUGAUUUACAUUUGAGUGAGUGGCGAACUGGUGAGUAACACGUGGGAAACCUGCCCAUAAGCGGGGGAUAACACCUGGAGACAGAUGCUAAUACCGCAUAACAACUUGGACCGCAUGGUCCGAGCUUGAAAGAUGGCUUCGGCUAUCACUUUUGGAUGGUCCCGCGGCGUAUUAGCUAGAUGGUGGGGUAACGGCUCACCAUGGCAAUGAUACGUAGCCGACCUGAGAGGGUAAUCGGCCACAUUGGGACUGAGACACGGCCCAAACUCCUACGGGAGGCAGCAGUAGGGAAUCUUCCACAAUGGACGAAAGUCUGAUGGAGCAACGCCGCGUGAGUGAAGAAGGGUUUCGGCUCGUAAAACUCUGUUGUUAAAGAAGAACAUAUCUGAGAGUAACUGUUCAGGUAUUGACGGUAUUUAACCAGAAAGCCACGGCUAACUACGUGCCAGCAGCCGCGGUAAUACGUAGGUGGCAAGCGUUGUCCGGAUUUAUUGGGCGUAAAGCGAGCGCAGGCGGUUUUUUAAGUCUGAUGUGAAAGCCUUCGGCUCAACCGAAGAAGUGCAUCGGAAACUGGGAAACUUGAGUGCAGAAGAGGACAGUGGAACUCCAUGUGUAGCGGUGAAAUGCGUAGAUAUAUGGAAGAACACCAGUGGCGAAGGCGGCUGUCUGGUCUGUAACUGACGCUGAGGCUCGAAAGUAUGGGUA